This 253-nucleotide ribosomal RNA is filed under the name uncultured bacterium. Its description in RNAcentral is "partial 16S ribosomal RNA". It matches the Rfam family "Bacterial small subunit ribosomal RNA", at positions 524 to 776 of the family's 1533-position model. The record is from RNAcentral.
UACGGAGGGUGCAAGCGUUAUCCGGAUUCACUGGGUUUAAAGGGUGCGUAGGCGGAUAGGUAAGUCCGUGGUGAAAUCCUGCAGCUUAACUGCAGAACUGCCAUGGAUACUAUUUAUCUUGAAUGUCGUGGAGGUUAGCAGAAUAUGUCAUGUAGCGGUGAAAUGCUUAGAUAUGACAUAGAACACCAAUUGCGAAGGCAGCUCGCUACACAGUUAUUGACUCUGAGGCACGAAAGCGUGGGGAUCAAACAGG